This 608-nucleotide ribosomal RNA is filed under the name uncultured bacterium. Its description in RNAcentral is "bacterial SSU rRNA". It matches the Rfam family "Bacterial small subunit ribosomal RNA", at positions 153 to 755 of the family's 1533-position model. The record is from RNAcentral.
GAAACUCGAGCUAAUACCGCAUACGACCUUCGGGUGAAAGUGGGGGACCUUCGGGCCUCACGCUAUUAGAGAAGCCUGCGUUGGAUUAGCUUGUUGGUGGGGUAAAGGCCUACCAAGGCGACGAUCCAUAGCUGGUCUGAGAGGACGAUCAGCCACACUGGAACUGAGACACGGUCCAGACUCCUACGGGAGGCAGCAGUAGGGAAUCUUGGGCAAUGGGCGAAAGCCUGACCCAGCGAUGCCGCGUGUGUGAAGAAGGCCUUCGGGUUGUAAAGCACUUUCAGCAGUGAAGAAAUCCUCGGGGCUAAUAUCCCCGGGAGUUGACGUUAACUGCAGAAGAAGAUCCGGCUAACUCCGUGCCAGCAGCCGCGGUAAUACGGAGGGAUCGAACGUUAAUCGGAAUUACUGGGCGUAAAGCGCGCGUAGGCGGUUCGUUAAGUGGGAUGUGAAAGCCCCGGGCUCAACCUGGGAAUUGCAUUCCAAACUGGCGGACUAGAGUAUGGUAGAGGGGGGUAGAAUUUCCUGUGUAGCGGUGAAAUGCGUAGAUAUAGGAAGGAAUACCGAUGGCGAAGGCAGCCCCCCUGGACCAAUACUGACGCUCAGGUGCG